AAGUCGUAACAAGGUUUCCGUAGGUGAACCUGCGGAAGGAUCAUUAACACGUGUUUAUUCACGUACAAACCAAACGCGAACUGUGUCUAUAACUUUUAACAACCCCAUAUACCUUCUGAUCUAAUUUCUGUGUGUUUGCCGACACUCGAUAAGAACUCCUGAGUUUUGCAAAAAGCUUGGUCGUAGACGCUGAUCUUGAGUGGCGAAGAAUACACAACCAAACAAAAAUACAAAACAACUCUUAGCAACGGAUAUCUUGGUUCUC
RNAcentral lists this unclassified non-coding RNA (265 nucleotides) under fungal sp. RNAcentral describes it as "partial internal transcribed spacer region". The stretch from base 1 to 46 matches the Rfam family "Eukaryotic small subunit ribosomal RNA", at positions 1786 to 1831 of the family's 1831-position model. The record is from RNAcentral. Lineage: Eukaryota; Fungi.